UACUGAUGAAAUAUAAACUGAAAUAGCUGGAAUUACCGGCAGAUUGUUUAGUGGUGAUUCUCGGUUUUCUGAAC
This is a small nucleolar RNA of Takifugu rubripes (torafugu), 74 nucleotides long. NCBI's taxonomy places the organism in Eukaryota, Metazoa, Chordata, Actinopteri, Tetraodontiformes, Tetraodontidae. The record is from Ensembl.